RNAcentral lists this ribosomal RNA (426 nucleotides) under Acidobacteriota bacterium. Its description in RNAcentral is "Acidobacteria bacterium partial 16S ribosomal RNA". It matches the Rfam family "Bacterial small subunit ribosomal RNA", at positions 355 to 773 of the family's 1533-position model. Lineage: Bacteria; Pseudomonadati; Acidobacteriota. The record is from RNAcentral.
UGGGGAAUUUUGGACAAUGGGGGAAACCCUGAUCCAGCCAUCCCGCGUGUGCGAUGAAGGCCUUCGGGUUGUAAAGCACUUUUGGCAGGAAAGAAACGUCAUGGGUUAAUACCCCGUGAAACUGACGGUACCUGCAGAAUAAGCACCGGCUAACUACGUGCCAGCAGCCGCGGUAAUACGUAGGGUGCAAGCGUUAAUCGGAAUUACUGGGCGUAAAGCGUGCGCAGGCGGUUCGGAAAGAAAGAUGUGAAAUCCCAGAGCUCAACUUUGGAACUGCAUUUUUAACUACCGGGCUAGAGUGUGUCAGAGGGAGGUGGAAUUCCGCGUGUAGCAGUGAAAUGCGUAGGUAUGCGGAGGAACACCGAUGGCGAAGGCAGCCUCCUGGGAUAACACUGACGCUCAUGCACGAAAGCGUGGGGAGCAAAC